CCUACGGGAGGCAGCAGUGAGGAAUAUUGGUCAAUGGACGAGAGUCUGAACCAGCCAAGUAGCGUGAAGGAUGACUGCCCUCUGGGUUGUAAACUUCUUUUAUAUGGGAAUAAAAUGCUCCACGUGUGGGAUUUUGUAUGUACCAUAUGAUUAAGGAUCGGCUAACUCUGUGCCAGCAGCCGCGGUAAUACGGAGGAUUCGAGCGUUAUCCGGAUUUAUUGGGUUUAAUGGGUGCGUAGGUGGAUUGUUAAGUCAGUUGUGAAAGUUUGCGGCUCAACCGUAAAAUUGCAGUUGAAACUGGCAGUCUGUAGUACAGUAGAGGUGGGCGGAAUUCGUGGUGUAGCGGUGAAAUGCUUAGAUAUAACGAAGAACUCCGAUUGCGAAGGCAGUUCACUGGACUGCAACUGACACUGAGGCUCGAAAGUGUGGGUAUCAAACAGGAUUAGAUACCCGGGUAGUC
RNAcentral lists this ribosomal RNA (460 nucleotides) under uncultured bacterium. RNAcentral describes it as "partial 16S ribosomal RNA". It matches the Rfam family "Bacterial small subunit ribosomal RNA", at positions 338 to 795 of the family's 1533-position model. The record is from RNAcentral.